This 73-nucleotide transfer RNA is filed under the name Nanobdellota archaeon. RNAcentral describes it as "tRNA-Gln". It matches the Rfam family "tRNA". Rfam says of the family: Transfer RNA (tRNA) molecules are approximately 80 nucleotides in length. Their secondary structure includes four short double-helical elements and three loops (D, anti-codon, and T loops). Further hydrogen bonds mediate the characteristic L-shaped molecular structure. tRNAs have two regions of fundamental functional importance: the anti-codon, which is responsible for specific mRNA codon recognition, and the 3' end, to which the tRNAs corresponding amino acid is attached (by aminoacyl-tRNA synthetases). tRNAs cope with the degeneracy of the genetic code in two manners: having more than one tRNA (with a specific anti-codon) for a particular amino acid; and 'wobble' base-pairing, i.e. permitting non-standard base-pairing at the 3rd anti-codon position. Lineage: Archaea; Nanobdellati; Nanobdellota. The record is from RNAcentral.
AGCCCCGUAGUGUAGCGGCCAAUCAUUUUGCCCUUUGGAGGCAGAGACCUAGGUUCAAAUCCUAGCGGGGCUA